GUGGGGAAUAUUGGACAAUGGGCGAAAGCCUGAUCCAGCCAUGCCGCGUGUGUGAAGAAGGUCUUCGGAUUGUAAAGCACUUUAAGUUGGGAGGAAGGGCAGUAAGUUAAUACCUUGCUGUUUUGACGUUACCGACAGAAUAAGCACCGGCUAACUUCGUGCCAGCAGCCGCGGUAAUACGAAGGGUGCAAGCGUUAAUCGGAAUUACUGGGCGUAAAGCGCGCGUAGGUGGUUUUGUAAGUUGGAGGUGAAAUCCCCGGGCUCAACCUGGGAACUGCCUCCAAAACUGCAUGACUAGAGUACGGUAGGGAGUAGUGGAAUUUCCUGUGUAGCGGUGAAAUGCGUAGAUAUAGGAAGGAACACCAGUGGCGAAGGCGACUACCUGGACUGAUACUGACACUGAGGUGCGAAAGCGUGGGGAGCAAACAGGAUUAGAUACCCGGGUAGUCC
RNAcentral lists this ribosomal RNA (450 nucleotides) under uncultured bacterium. RNAcentral describes it as "bacterial SSU rRNA". It matches the Rfam family "Bacterial small subunit ribosomal RNA", at positions 354 to 796 of the family's 1533-position model. The record is from RNAcentral.